UGAGGAAUAUUGCGCAAUGGACGAAAGUCUGACGCAGCAACGCCGCGUGCAGGAUGACGGCCCUCAGGGUUGUAAACUGCUGUAGCAGGGGAAUAACACCCGCCUUUCGGGGCGGGUUGAAGGUACCCUGAAAGUAAGCUCCGGCUAACUACGUGCCAGCAGCCGCGGUAAUACGUAGGGAGCAAGCGUUGUCCGGAUUCACUGGGUGUAAAGGGUGCGCAGGCGGACUGGCAAGUCAGAGGUGAAAUCUUACGGCUCAACCGUGAAAUUGCCUUUGAAACUGCUGGUCUUGAGUUCGGGAGAGGUCGAUGGAAUUCCAGGUGUAGCGGUGAAAUGCUUAGAUAUCUGGAAGAACACCAGUAGCGAAGGCGGUCGACUGGCCCGUAACUGACGCUCAGGCACGAAAGCGUGGGGAGCAAACAGGAUUAGAUACCCCCGUAGUCC
Molecule: ribosomal RNA, 444 nt
Filed under: uncultured prokaryote
Description: bacterial SSU rRNA
Rfam family: Bacterial small subunit ribosomal RNA
Source: RNAcentral